CGGCAACAGCUCAAAUUUGAAAUCUGGAGCCUUCGGCUUCCGAGUUGUAAUUUGAAGAGGAUGUUUCGGUGCGACCUGGGCCUAAGUUCCUUGGAACAGGACGUCAUGGAGGGUGAGAAUCCCGUACAUGGCUGCAGGUUUGCUUCUAUGUGAAACUCCUUCGAA
RNAcentral lists this ribosomal RNA (165 nucleotides) under Orbiliaceae sp. RNAcentral's name for it is "partial large subunit ribosomal RNA". It matches the Rfam family "Eukaryotic large subunit ribosomal RNA", at positions 99 to 261 of the family's 3401-position model. Lineage: Eukaryota; Fungi; Ascomycota; Orbiliomycetes; Orbiliales; Orbiliaceae. The record is from RNAcentral.